Molecule: ribosomal RNA, 503 nt
Filed under: uncultured Rickettsiales bacterium
Lineage: Bacteria; Pseudomonadati; Pseudomonadota; Alphaproteobacteria; Rickettsiales
Description: bacterial SSU rRNA
Rfam family: Bacterial small subunit ribosomal RNA
Source: RNAcentral
UACUGAGUGGCAGACGGGUGAGUAACAUGUGGGAAUCUGCCUUGUGGUUCAGGACAACAUUGGGAAACCGAUGCUAAUACUGGAUAAGCCCUUACGGGGAAAGUUUUAAUGCCAUAAGAUGAGCCCGCAUUUGAUUAGUUAGUUGGUGAGGUAAUAGCUCACCAAGACAAUGAUCAAUAGCUGAUCUGAGAGGAUGAUCAGCCACACUGGGACUGAGACACGGCCCAGACUCCUACGGGAGGCAGCAGUGGGGAAUCUUGCACAAUGGAGGAAACUCUGAUGCAGCGAUGCCGCGUGAGUGAAGAAGGCCUUUGGGUUGUAAAGCUCUUUUGUAGGGGAAGAUAAUGACUGUACCCUAAGAAUAAGGUCCGGCUAACUUCGUGCCAGCAGCCGCGGUAAUACGAAGGGACCUAGCGUAGUUCGGAAUUACUGGGCGUAAAGCGCGCGUAGGCCGUUGAGUUAGUUAAUUGUGAAAUCCCAAAGCUUAACUUUGGAACUGCAAU